GUAAGCGCGCGGCGGAGCAUGGUUUUGGG
Molecule: non-coding RNA, 29 nt
Filed under: Cricetulus griseus (Chinese hamster)
Lineage: Eukaryota; Metazoa; Chordata; Mammalia; Rodentia; Cricetidae
Source: RNAcentral